Long non-coding RNA from Cydia splendana, 149 nucleotides. RefSeq lists it as uncharacterized. The record is from RefSeq and is a predicted model, not a curated record. The transcript is spliced from 3 exons. Lineage: Eukaryota; Metazoa; Arthropoda; Insecta; Lepidoptera; Tortricidae.
ACAUUAAAUUACAUUAGUAUAAAAGAAAACACAAAAUAAGAUUAAAGUGCCACGAAAUGGCCCCAUCUCAGCAUGUUGCUGGUGGCUUCCAGCGCUGAUCUUCCGAUGAGACCAUCAAGUGAGAAGAAUCACGGAAGGUCAGACAAGAA